GGUUCUAUGGUUUAAUGGUGAGCACUCUGGCUUUGAAUCCAGUGAUCCGUCUUCAAAUCUCGGUGGAACCUA
Merluccius polli (Benguela hake) is the source of this 72-nucleotide non-coding RNA. Lineage: Eukaryota; Metazoa; Chordata; Actinopteri; Gadiformes; Merlucciidae. The record is from the annotation of a GenBank genome assembly.